This 449-nucleotide ribosomal RNA is filed under the name uncultured bacterium. Its description in RNAcentral is "partial 16S ribosomal RNA". It matches the Rfam family "Bacterial small subunit ribosomal RNA", at positions 354 to 796 of the family's 1533-position model. The record is from RNAcentral.
GUCGAGAAUAAUUCACAAUGGGGGAAACCCUGAUGGUGCAACGCCGCGUGGAGGAUAAGGUCUUCGGAUUGUAAACUCCUGUCAUCUGGGAGUAAGACCUGACGGUGAAUAGCCGGCAGGGUUGAUAGUACCAGAAGAGGAAGGGACGGCUAACUUCGUGCCAGCAGCCGCGGUAAUACGAAGGUCCCAAGCGUUGUUCGGAAUCACUGGGCGUAAAGGGAGCGUAGGCGGCGUGGUAAGUCAGAUGUGAAAUCCCGGGGCGCAACCACGGAACUGCAUCCGAUACUGCCAUGCUUGAGGGUUGGAGAGGUAGCUGGAAUUCUCGGUGUAGCAGUGAAAUGCGUGGAUAUCGAGAGGAACACUCGUGGCGAAGGCGAGCUACUGGACAACAUCUGACGCUGAGGCUCGAAGGCCAGGGGAGCAAAAGGGAUUAGAUACCCUGGUAGUCC